CAGCAGCCGCGGUAAUGCGAAGGGUGCAAGCGUUAAUCGGAAUUACUGGGCGUAAAGCGUGCGUAGGCGGUUUGUUAAGUCUGUUGUGAAAUCCCCGGGCUCAACCUGGGAAUGGCAAUGGAUACUGGCAAGCUAGAGUGUGUCAGAGGAUGGUGGAAUUCCCGGUGUAGCGGUGAAAUGCGUAGAGAUCGGGAGGAACAUCAGUGGCGAAGGCGGCCAUCUGGGACAACACUGACGCUGAGGCACGAAAGCGUGGGGAGCAAACAGGAUUAGAUACCCCUGUAGUCCCUGUCUCUUAUAC
RNAcentral lists this ribosomal RNA (301 nucleotides) under uncultured bacterium. RNAcentral's name for it is "partial 16S ribosomal RNA". It matches the Rfam family "Bacterial small subunit ribosomal RNA", at positions 509 to 807 of the family's 1533-position model. The record is from RNAcentral.